Molecule: transfer RNA, 69 nt
Filed under: Ictidomys tridecemlineatus (thirteen-lined ground squirrel)
Lineage: Eukaryota; Metazoa; Chordata; Mammalia; Rodentia; Sciuridae
Description: Spermophilus tridecemlineatus (thirteen-lined ground squirrel) tRNA
Rfam family: tRNA
About the family: Transfer RNA (tRNA) molecules are approximately 80 nucleotides in length. Their secondary structure includes four short double-helical elements and three loops (D, anti-codon, and T loops).
Source: Rfam by way of RNAcentral
GGGAUUGUAGCUCAGUGGUGGAGCACUUGCCUAGCAUGUGCAAGGUCCUGGGUUCAAUCCUCAGCACCA